AAUAACCUUAUUUUUCAUUUUUUCAUGCCCAACGUUUAACCAUUCGUCUUAUUUAAAUUUUUUUACGAUUAAUAUUUUUAUUGUUACUAAAUGAUAAAAUAUGAAUAGUACUUUAUACGUGACUAAUUUUUUUAAGUUUUUGUACAAAUUUUUUAAAUAAGACGAAUGGUCAAACAUUGGGUACGGAAAAAC
Oryza brachyantha (malo sina) is the source of this 192-nucleotide non-coding RNA. Lineage: Eukaryota; Viridiplantae; Streptophyta; Magnoliopsida; Poales; Poaceae. The record is from Rfam.